Molecule: non-coding RNA, 1018 nt
Organism: Schizosaccharomyces pombe (fission yeast)
Lineage: Eukaryota; Fungi; Ascomycota; Schizosaccharomycetes; Schizosaccharomycetales; Schizosaccharomycetaceae
Source: the annotation of a GenBank genome assembly
UCAAGGAAACAGGUUCACUGUGGUGCAGCUUACUUAACAGAACGUUUUCCACUUAAAAACACUGCAUUCUUUCGGAAACCUUCAUGAUCAAUACGCCCUGCACGAGAGAAGGGAAACAAAAUUGCAAUCACUUUGGCAGUGAUGAGUCCUGUCGAUACUGGGCCAAAUUUGUUACUAUCACUGUAAACUAGUUAAUAUCUCUAUAGAAGAAAACGAAAAAGUAAAAAAACAAUUGUUGGAAACCUACAUAGAAUGAAAUUGUUCAUCGCCUUCGACCCACACAUGUCCCUCGGGAACGGGUACUAAUGACAACUUUUUAGGAGGUCUCGUUUUCAUGAUAUCGUAUUCUACUCCUAGAACUCUUUUUACCAAUAGUUCCUCUGGGUUUUCUGGAGAGCUUGUUGCUUAUUAGUAACGAUAAAAAGGGAAACUCAGUACCGAAAGACCCUGCAACGAUCCAAGAACUUACCGUAGUAUAACUACAUCUCCUCUUUUGUAAUCCUUAUUCCAUUUCCAAAGUAGUACCCUAUCUCUCUGCAGCAUGUUUGUCUCAGGGUUAAAGGCUGGUUUCAUAGAUCUACCUUCAAUUGUACCGACGCUGACUACAUGUUGUUCAACGAACAUUAAUACGGGUACCCAUAGGGUAAUUCCGACUAAAUUUUUAAAAAAUACUGAUUUAAAAGAUUGAUUUCGAACGAAAGGGUUUGCCAUUUUUUGAGGACAACUGCUAAACUCUCUCCUCUAAGAAGUUUAUGAUUAACCGUCUGUAUGUACCUUAACAAGCAUGGGAGUUUCCGUAAUUAAUAAUUAAACCAGGAAAACGUAUUAAUGAAUUUUAUCUGAUAAGUGUCAGGCUUCUAUUCCUGAUCGUUUUUGUUUCAAUACGGUGUGUUGCAGUAGGUAAUUCAAAACCACAUUAAGCUUAGCUUCCUUCUAAUAUUAUUAUAGCGAAAACUAUUAUUUACUUAAAUUAACAACCAUGGUAAUAGAUACAAAAAAACAAAUAAAUAUUCUGUAA